UAGCACGUAGGUAACCUGCCUCACACAGGGGGAUAACAGUUAGAAAUGACUGCUAAUACCGCAUAAGCGCACAGGGCUGCAUGGCCCGGUGUGAAAAGCUCCGGCGGUGUGAGAUGGACCUGCGUCUGAUUAGCCAGUUGGCGGGGUAACGGCCCACCAAAGCGACGAUCAGUAGCCGGCCUGAGAGGGUGGACGGCCACAUUGGGACUGAGACACGGCCCAG
RNAcentral lists this ribosomal RNA (223 nucleotides) under uncultured bacterium. RNAcentral describes it as "partial 16S ribosomal RNA". It matches the Rfam family "Bacterial small subunit ribosomal RNA", at positions 111 to 334 of the family's 1533-position model. The record is from RNAcentral.